Molecule: long non-coding RNA, 1212 nt
Organism: Uranotaenia lowii
Lineage: Eukaryota; Metazoa; Arthropoda; Insecta; Diptera; Culicidae
Exons: 4
Source: RefSeq, a predicted model, not a curated record
CCAAAACAUGAAGUUUUGUUUGAAUAAUUUCGAAUGACACGCAUCCGUAUAGGCACUGGUAGUGAUAUCUGGGCGGGUGUUCUAUUACAGAACGAGUCGAGGUCUUAAUUUUGAAAAUCGUAUUUUCGGCUUAAUUCUUCCGCACUUCCCGGUGGUGGAUUCGAAAAUCAGUUUUUAUGGUGGUGAUGGAAACGACAUACAUAAUUCCGCAUUCGUGGGUGCUGCAGUUCCGCCGUUCCGUUGCCGUUGCAAUUUAUGAUCCAGAAACUAAAAAAGACGCUACCAUACAUGGGUUUUUAGAGACGGAUUUGGAUUAUGUCUAUGCGAAGGUUAUUCAAUCUGUAUCCAAUUGUCAUUCAGAACGGGUUUCUGAAGAUGCUUGGAAAAUGCUCAAGUAUCGUGAAAGGCUUCUAGCUACGUUUGUCAACGGAAGGGCAACUGGUCUAGGUAUGGCCAGCAGAGAUACCUGUAUAUACUGUGACCCAUGAAGGGGAAGUCAUCAGCCAAGCUGUUGUGGAAUCUCUCCUGGGUGACGAUCUUCAGUUGCAAAGUCAAAACAUCGACCUCAUGAAGACCUUGCUGAAUAAAUUAAGAUCCUGCAGGAAGCAAUACGUGCUCAGAGCUUCCGUCCAUGUUUUUGUGCUUGGAAAGAUCGACGUGUGACAAAACGCGUGAAUUUUUAUGUAAUUCUUGGUUGGUUGAGCAAUGAUUAUUUGUACUGUUUAAAUUUUUUUCAACUAAAGUAGAGCAUUUUUUAUCGAUUCACGACAUCUGGAAUUACUUCCAAAUAACUAUUUGAACAACAAUAUAAAUAGCGAUUGAAAGAAAAAUUCUUUUAAAACUAGUUAAACAAAUAAUUUUAAAGAAGCAAUGUAAGGUAUGUAUAAAAGUAAGGCUCUGUUUCAUUGAUUCAUUUAUAUUUUUGUCUGAUUUACACAAUGAACCGAACAAUUCUUAAGCACCAGAGAAGAAUGUUUUCGGACAAUUCGGCUAUAAUAAGCUAUUAGAUAGUACAAUAAUAAAUAAGGCUUCAGCUAAGACAGCAGAAUCAAUCUUGUUAACUCCUUCGCAAUAUACUACUGUUACUAUCUGACGUUUAUGUAUGUACUAACUAUAGUAAUAUAUAAGGAAUUGAUUCAGAAGCAUACGCAGUAGCUCUUGAAAGAUAAAAUUGUGUGACAAGAAGUAAUGAACAUAGCUUGAACUGUGUAA